AUGCAAGUCGAACGGUGAUGAAGAGCUUGCUCUUUUGAUCAGUGGCGAACGGGUGAGUAACACGUGAGCAACCUACCCUUGACUCUGGGAUAACAGUUGGAAACAGCUGCUAAUACCGGAUAUGAACUCAGCGGGCAUCUGCUGGGUUGGAAAGCUCCGACGGUCAGGGAUGGGCUCGCGGCCUAUCAGCUUGUUGGUGAGGUAAUGGCUCACCAAGGCGACGACGGGUAGCCGGCCUGAGAGGGCGACCGGCCACACUGGGACUGAGAUACGGCCCAGACUCCUACGGGAGGCAGCAGUGGGGAAUAUUGCGCAAUGGGCGAAAGCCUGACGCAGCAACGCCGCGUGCGGGAUGACGGCCUUCGGGUUGUAAACCGCUUUCAGCAGGGACGAAACUGACGGUACCUGCAGAAGAAGCACCGGCUAACUACGUGCCAGCAGCCGCGGUGAUACGUAGGGUGCGAGCGUUGUCCGGAAUUAUUGGGCGUAAAGAGCUCGUAGGCGGUCUGUCGCGUCGGAAGUGAAAACUCGGGGCUUAACCCCGAGCCUGCUUUCGAUACGGGCAGACUUGAGGAAUGUAGGGGAGAACGGAAUUCCUGGUGGAGCGGUGGAAUGCGCAGAUAUCAGGAGGAACACCAGUGGCGAAGGCGGUUCUCUGGACAUUAACUGACGCUGAGGAGCGAAAGCGUGGGGAGCAAAC
Molecule: ribosomal RNA, 700 nt
Filed under: uncultured bacterium
Lineage: Bacteria
Description: bacterial SSU rRNA
Rfam family: Bacterial small subunit ribosomal RNA
Source: RNAcentral